Paramuricea clavata is the source of this 954-nucleotide non-coding RNA. The record is from the annotation of a GenBank genome assembly. Lineage: Eukaryota; Metazoa; Cnidaria; Anthozoa; Malacalcyonacea; Plexauridae.
GCAGUCCACACAAGGACACAUACAGAGGCUAAACAUUAUGAAUGUGAUGUUUGUUUCAAGAGGUUUAGACAUUCAAAUACCUUGGUGAUACACAGGCGGACACACACAGGAGAAACACCUUAUGAAUGUAAUAUCUGUAACAAAAGAUUUUCACAAUCUAGCCAUCUAGGAACACAUAAAAGAUUACACACUGGGGACAAACCUUAUGAGUGUGAUGUCUGCAAACAAAGAUUUUCACGCAAGCAUCAUCUUAAUUCCCAUGAACAGCAACAUUUGUUAUGUGACACUUGCCACAGAGAAAUUAUUCAACCCCAAGAAUUGCAAGAAUAUUUUGUUAAGGAUACAGGCAGUGGAAAGUAUGUUUGUAGUAAAUGUAGCAAAGGGUUGCCUCAUAGUUUCAUGAAAUGGGUACGACAUAUAGCAAGGGAACAUAAAAGUUAUGGAAACUAUAAAUGCGGUUUUUGUCAAGAACUUGAAUCAACAGAACCAACUGGUAUUGGAUAUGCUUGUUGUGCCUGUGAUGCUGUGUUUGACGUUCCCAGAGAACUUGAAGAACACAUGGUCACUCAUGACAUGAUGCAGAUUAAAUAGGUUUCAGCUUUAUAUGACUUUUGUAUUUUAACGACUAAUAUUGAUCUAGAGUAGUAAUACGGGGAAGAUAGGGACAUGGGUCCCAGUCGAUAACUGAACAAAACAUCUCCUUUAGUUGAGGAGACGUUCAAUGCAACUACGCGUUAUGAAAGCGGAGGAAGAUAUGAACGGGUAGGGAUAAAACGCUGAAACUGAAUCGCGGAAACUGAAAGCGGAAACUGAAAUGGGAAUAAAACGCUGAAAUGGGCAAAUUUAAUCGAAUUCGUUGUUUGCUAGACAAUUGCGAACACAUGUAAUUUGCCUAUAAAACUGAAUAAAUCUACUAAAGAAGUUCCUGGUAAAAUGACAACUACAAAUUUUCGA